RNAcentral lists this ribosomal RNA (449 nucleotides) under uncultured prokaryote. RNAcentral's name for it is "bacterial SSU rRNA". It matches the Rfam family "Bacterial small subunit ribosomal RNA", at positions 355 to 796 of the family's 1533-position model. The record is from RNAcentral.
UAGGGAAUCUUGCACAAUGGGCGAAAGCCUGAUGCAGCCAUGCCGCGUGGGGGAUGAAGGUCUUCGGAUUGUAAACCCCUUUUCUGAAGGAAGAACUGCCCGGGCAGGAAAUGGUCCGGGUUUGACGGUACUUCAGGAAUAAGCAACGGCUAACUCCGUGCCAGCAGCCGCGGUAAGACGGAGGUUGCGAGCGUUGUUCGGAAUUACUGGGCGUAAAGGGGGCGCAGGCGGAGCGGUCAGUCCGAAGUGAAAGCCCGGGGCUCAACCCCGGAAUUGCUUUAGAUACUGCCGGUCUAGAGUGCGUGAGAGGGAAGCGGAAUUCCAGGUGUAGCGGUGAAAUGCGUAGAUAUCUGGAGGAACAUCCGUGGCGAAAGCGGCUUCCUGGCACGUAACUGACGCUGAGGCCCGAAAGCGUGGGGAGCGAACGGGAUUAGAUACCCCUGUAGUCC